Molecule: RNA transcript, 568 nt
Organism: Pyrus x bretschneideri (Chinese white pear)
Lineage: Eukaryota; Viridiplantae; Streptophyta; Magnoliopsida; Rosales; Rosaceae
Exons: 4
Source: RefSeq, a predicted model, not a curated record
GAUGAGUGCUAAUCCUCCCGACUGCUCAAAGCAAAGAAAUCAAUCUCUCUCGUACUCGAUCAUGUCUCGCCUGAAGAACGACUGCUUGUCUUUCGUUGUUUCAUUGCAAGAGGGUUUUCGUUAUGUUAAGGCAUGCUUCGUUGGUCAGGCUAAGAAGUUGACAGCAAGGAAUGAGCAGGAAGCAACAGAAGCAGAGCUUCAGACAGCCAAAAUGCAAGUUGAAGCUGCUGAUGCCGCUGAGGAUACCAAAAACAGACUCCAUAAUUAUCCCUAAUGUAAUACUCUUGGACCGGUGCCUGCAUUGAUUGAAAUCAAAGAAUGGCCAGACCUCUGCAUCGAGAUUUCCUAUUCGAGUAAUUUCUCCGGACAAUUCUCCUUCCGAACCUGGAAAUACCGAAAAUGGCUUUGUAUCUGAUCCCUUCAUGGCUGGUACUCCCAGAAGUCGGCACAAGUUAACGCUGCUACCGUUGAAGUUAAAGUUUAGUUUUGAUUUUUAUUCUAACUCUUACCGGAUCCUUUUGGCGGACACUCGCCAUCUCAACAAGUUCAAGAGGUCACAUAUACCAUG